CCGCCGCGAUCCCUGCGCACCACGGCCCUGCCCGCCACGGGGCGAGCCCGAUAAGAGGGCUGUGGACGUUCGGGUCUAGUUGGGAGAGACAGGGGUCCCUGACUCUUGAGCGGUCAGUCAUUUCCUCCCCAGUCCUUGUGGGUGACGUGGCUACGGUUUGGAGCAGCAAGCCCCCUCCCCGAACUAAAGGGCCUCUCCAAAGGUUAAGCCAGGGCAGUCAUUGAGGUCAAAACCAAUAUGUAGUUUCUUGACUGCAGGUGCCUGCACGACUCCCAGAAAGUCGCGUCUCCCCUAACCCCCAUGCCCAGGACCUGAGGACAAAGGUCUAGCGAUUGUCCAUCCCCUCCCCCAGUGAGGACAGCCGGGAAAGACCUGCCUUUGUUGUGUACAGGUGGUAUCUCACUGUGUUAUCCAGACUGGACUCAAAUUUCUGGGCUCCAAUGGUCCUCUCACCUCAGCCUCCCAAGUAGUCAGGACUACAGAACUCCAUGGCAAUGUUUUGAGGAUUAAAGAGGAGAGUGAUGACUAUCCAAACGUCAGAGAACGCAACUAUGAGACUAGAGACACUGGAAAACUAAAAAAGUAACGGGCCUUUGCUGACUCAGGGAGAUGAUUUCCCAAGAGGGAAGAAAACUGGAACCUGAGAAAUAAGUGAUUUAGUAAUGUGGCUGCUAAAAUACGGAAAAACUAGAAUGAAUGGCUUACACAUUUUUGAAAUGAAGUUAGAAGAGGGUUAUACUGUGAAGAAGAAUGAAAAAGCCAAACAUUUCAUUCAGCUUUUUGGAAUGUUAGCAAGAUUUCACAAUGCAGACAUCUCAGUUUGAGACAGCUUGAUUGAUUUCCUGAUUUCCAGGAAAACAGAGCUAUCAUCUUGUUCCUGCUUCGUUGUUUACUGGCAUAAAUAUGCAGUUCUUACAAAAUGUGAAAUGGCUGCUGAAGAAGUAAAAUUUAAUUCUUUUUGAUAUAUUGUUCCAAAUCCCCGCAAAAAUGAAGAAACCAGUGGAGAAACUUUAUUCCUCCCUUCCCAAAAAUGAAUGUGAAGAAUUGUGGAAGAUUUUGUUCCUUUGGGAGUUUGUACAUGAACUAAAGGCUCUGAACCAGUCUGUUGGGCCCCAGAGUCAGAUGGGAAUAAGCACGGUUCACCUCCAUACUUGCGUGUUAUACCUACACAGCCCAACCAAAAACUGGAGGGCAGCAGCCGUGUUUUGUAGGUCCCAUAUUCCCAAGAGUAUUAACAUCAUCCACAAGUGUUUUUGAGUACCCACUGAUAGAACCACAACAAUAGUAAAAAUAGCUAAUAUUUACUGUGCACUCUGUAUGCACUUUACCCUCACUAGUUCUAUGAGCUGAGCUCUUCCAAGAUUCCAUCUUGGAGAAGGAAAAUAAGGCUCAGAGGAGGAAAAUACCCUGCUCCAAAAUGCAUGGUGUGACAAGCAGGCUUACAUGCCCAGUUAUUUGGUUAAACAGUCUAGAUGUUGCUGCAAAGAAAUUUUGUAGAUGGAAUUAGCAUUUACAAUCAGUUGGUUGUAGCAGAUUACCCUCCCUACUGAGGGUGGGCCUCAACCAAUCAGGAAAAGGCCUUAAGAGCAAAGUUGAGGUUUCUAGAAGGAAUUCUGACUCAAGACUACAACAUAGAGAUCUUGCCUGAGUUUCCAGCCUGCCUGGCCUGCUCUAUGAAUUUCAGAUUCAAGAUUGCAACAUCAACUCUUACCUGAAUUGCUAGCCAGCUGGUCUGUCCUACAAACUUCAGACUUGCUAAUCCCCAGCAAUCUUGUCAGCCAAUUCCUAAAAAUAAAUAAGGAUAGAUAGAUAUAUAGAUAGAUAGAUAAUAGAUAGAUGAUAGAUACAGAU
RNAcentral lists this long non-coding RNA (1851 nucleotides) under Homo sapiens (human). RNAcentral's name for it is "HSALNT0334026". The record is from RNAcentral. Lineage: Eukaryota; Metazoa; Chordata; Mammalia; Primates; Hominidae.